Molecule: ribosomal RNA, 254 nt
Filed under: uncultured bacterium
Lineage: Bacteria
Description: partial 16S ribosomal RNA
Rfam family: Bacterial small subunit ribosomal RNA
Source: RNAcentral
UACGGGGGGAGCAAGCGUUGUUCGGAUUUACUGGGCGUAAAGGGCGCGUAGGCGGUCGUGACAAGUCACUUGUGAAAUCUCCGGGCUUAACUCGGAGCGGCCAAGUGAUACUGUCGUGCUAGAGUGCGGAAGGGGCUACUGGAAUUCUCGGUGUAGCGGUGAAAUGCGUAGAUAUCGAGAGGAACACCUGCGGCGAAGGCGGGUAGCUGGGCCGACACUGACGCUGAGGCGCGAAAGCUAGGGGAGCGAACGGG